This 1241-nucleotide ribosomal RNA is filed under the name Didymium nigripes. RNAcentral's name for it is "SSU rRNA". It matches the Rfam family "Eukaryotic small subunit ribosomal RNA", at positions 23 to 1157 of the family's 1831-position model. Lineage: Eukaryota; Evosea; Eumycetozoa; Physariida; Didymiaceae. The record is from RNAcentral.
GUGUAUGCUUUUCCUAAAGAUUAAGCCAUGCAUGCCUUCGAAUACGAGGAAGCAAUUCUCUCUGAAUCUGCGAACGGCUCCGCAAACCAGUUGUAAACUAUAGCAAGCAAGCUCGUGCCCCCUCGGGGGCGCGGGCGACAUGGAUAACCCUGGUAAUUCUGAGGCUUAUACAAGAACGUAACUCCCCGGCCGACUGGGCAACUGGAAGGUCGGGAGGUGUGUGAUUUGGCAUUGAGGAAUGCUGGGAAUUGGACACACGCCUGGACCGCGCCAAAGACAGAUGCGCCCCCCCCCUCGGGGGGGGCGUGCCUGAGCGGCUCUUGCUUUGUGCUUCUGACCUAUCAACUAGAUGGCAGCGUAACGGACAUGCUAUGGUUACAACGGGUACAGAGGAUAAGGGUUCGAUCCUGGAGAGUGGGCCUGAGAGAUUGCUCAUACUUCUAAGGAAGGCAGCAGGCGCGCAACGUUCCCCUUGUGCAAUGCAUGAGGGCGUUAGGGGACAUAUGAAUGCCUGCCCUUUGGGUGGGCAAUUCAAAUGGGUCUGUUGUAAACAGGCUCUCGAGUAACAAUUAGAGGACAAGUCUGGUGCCAGCACCCGCGGUAAUUCCAGCUCUAAUAGCAUACGUUAAAGUUGUUGCGGUUAAAACGCUCGUAGUCGGCUUCAGAUCAUCAGAUACCUGAUCUGCUAACCUGGGUCAGCUGCUCUUCGGGGCGCGCUGGGGGUGCGGUGAUGGAGGGCGGUGGUCAAGUGUGCCUUCGGCUGUCCUUCGGGUCACAGGGUUCAGUUUUCGGCUGGGCUCGGCUGGGGGUACCACUUACCAAUGAUUAAACUGGGUUGAUCAAGUAAGGUCAUUCGAUCUUGCACAGCACAGCAUGGGGAUAAAUCUAGCUCGUUUCGGUCCUUCCCUCGUGGGGGGCUUGGCGGGGCAGAAGCUGAUAGGGAUUGUUCGAGGGUUGACUGAAUUGCCCGGGGCGAGUGGGUGAAAUACCGUUGACCUCUUGGCAAGUUCGACCAAAGGCGAAAGGCAGUCAUCAAGGUCAUACCUCGGUUCGAUCAAGAAGCCGAAAGUUAAGGGUUCCGAAGAAACCGAAUCCGGAAUACCGUCGUAGUCUUAACUAUAAAUGAUACUGACCAGGGAUAGGACUCUGUCCAUCUCGACUCCUUCUGGACCUUGGAGAAAUUACAGUCUUUGAGUUCUGGGGGGAGUAUGGUCGCAAGGCUGAAACUUAAAGGAAUUGAC